This 120-nucleotide non-coding RNA is filed under the name Loxodonta africana (African savanna elephant). RNAcentral's name for it is "ODC internal ribosome entry site (IRES)". It matches the Rfam family "ODC internal ribosome entry site (IRES)". The record is from Rfam by way of RNAcentral. Lineage: Eukaryota; Metazoa; Chordata; Mammalia; Proboscidea; Elephantidae.
GUUUCCACAGCUGGAGGAAGCCUACAAGUGGAAUUUGGAAUUCCCGAAGUGCCUUUGUGAAAAGCUGGAAAUAAUUUCUUUAGAAAUGUCUCUUAGUUUUCCAUAGGACAUCCAGAAACC